RNAcentral lists this unclassified non-coding RNA (792 nucleotides) under Hevea brasiliensis (rubber tree). Lineage: Eukaryota; Viridiplantae; Streptophyta; Magnoliopsida; Malpighiales; Euphorbiaceae. The record is from RNAcentral.
GAGCAACUCGUCGACGGCAGCGCAAGCCGCUCAUCCCCAACCUGUUACGGUCCGCGAACAAGACCAGUAUAUGCCAAUAGCUAAUGUGAUUCGCAUCAUGCGUCGCAUCCUUCCAGCUCAUGCUAAAAUCUCUGAUGAUGCUAAGGAAACUAUCCAGGAAUGCGUCUCCGAGUACAUAAGCUUCAUCACUGGAGAGGCCAAUGAACGUUGUCAGCGGGAGCAACGCAAGACUAUCACUGCUGAGGACGUGCUUUGGGCUAUGGGAAAGCUGGGUUUUGAUGACUAUGUUGAACCUCUCACAGUGUUCCUCAACCGCUACCGUGAAACGGAGAAUGAGCGUAGCUCUAUACGUGAUCCCAUCCUGAAGCGCAGUAGCGUUGGAGUUGUGGAAUAUGAAAGUCUAGGGAUGCCUCCUUUCAUACCAAGUUAUCCCAGGGGGCCUCCUCCGCAGGGAAUUUUUGAUGGUGCAAUGAUGGGUGGGUACUACAAGGAUACAUCUGAUUCUGCCGCUGGCAUUGGUGGUUCCUCUGAUUCAAAUUCCCUCGCCAACUUUGAUCCAUUUGCUCAGUUUAAGUGACGACAUGAAUGAUAGACAAGAAAGUGCUAGGACUACAAGGAAUAAAAGGGAUAUUAUAAAACUAAUUGAAGAAGAAUAUAGCAUGCAUGGCACAGAUGAGAUGGAGAAGCAAGAUUUCUCCGGUGCCUUGUCUUACUUUGUACCUUUCUUCUUUUCGAACUGCCAAAUUAGUAGCUUUUAUCUGCUCUUAUUUUUAAUCAAAACAAUGAUGCUUC